AAAUUGAAGAGUUUGAUCAUGGCUCAGAUUGAACGCUGGCGGCAGGCCUAACACAUGCAAGUCGAGCGGUAACACAGAGAGCUUGCUCUCGGGUGACGAGCGGCGGACGGGUGAGUAAUGUCUGGGAAACUGCCUGAUGGAGGGGGAUAACUACUGGAAACGGUAGCUAAUACCGCAUAACGUCGCAAGACCAAAGUGGGGGACCUUCGGGCCUCAUGCCAUCAGAUGUGCCCAGAUGGGAUUAGCUAGUAGGUGGGGUAACGGCUCACCUAGGCGACGAUCCCUAGCUGGUCUGAGAGGAUGACCAGCCACACUGGAACUGAGACACGGUCCAGACUCCUACGGGAGGCAGCAGUGGGGAAUAUUGCACAAUGGGCGCAAGCCUGAUGCAGCCAUGCCGCGUGUGUGAAGAAGGCCUUCGGGUUGUAAAGCACUUUCAGCGGGGAGGAAGGCGGUGAGGUUAAUAACCUCAUCGAUUGACGUUACCCGCAGAAGAAGCACCGGCUAACUCCGUGCCAGCAGCCGCGGUAAUACGGAGGGUGCAAGCGUUAAUCGGAAUUACUGGGCGUAAAGCGCACGCAGGCGGUCUGUCAAGUCGGAUGUGAAAUCCCCGGGCUCAACCUGGGAACUGCAUUCGAAACUGGCAGGCUAGAGUCUUGUAGAGGGGGUAGAAUUCCAGGUGUAGCGGUGAAAUGCGUAGAGAUCUGGAGGAAUACCGGUGGCGAAGGCGGCCCCUGGACAAAGACUGACGCUCAGGUGCGAAAGCGUGGGGAGCAAACAGGAUUAGAUACCCUGGUAGUCCACGCCGUAAACGAUGUCGAUUUGGAGGUUGUGCCCUUGAGGCGUGGCUUCCGGAGCUAACGCGUUAAAUCGACCGCCUGGGGAGUACGGCCGCAAGGUUAAAACUCAAAUGAAUUGACGGGGGCCCGCACAAGCGGUGGAGCAUGUGGUUUAAUUCGAUGCAACGCGAAGAACCUUACCUGGUCUUGACAUCCACAGAACUUUCCAGAGAUGGAUUGGUGCCUUCGGGAACUGUGAGACAGGUGCUGCAUGGCUGUCGUCAGCUCGUGUUGUGAAAUGUUGGGUUAAGUCCCGCAACGAGCGCAACCCUUAUCCUUUGUUGCCAGCGGUUCGGCCGGGAACUCAAAGGAGACUGCCAGUGAUAAACUGGAGGAAGGUGGGGAUGACGUCAAGUCAUCAUGGCCCUUACGACCAGGGCUACACACGUGCUACAAUGGCAUAUACAAAGAGAAGCGACCUCGCGAGAGCAAGCGGACCUCAUAAAGUAUGUCGUAGUCCGGAUUGGAGUCUGCAACUCGACUCCAUGAAGUCGGAAUCGCUAGUAAUCGUAGAUCAGAAUGCUACGGUGAAUACGUUCCCGGGCCUUGUACACACCGCCCGUCACACCAUGGGAGUGGGUUGCAAAAGAAGUAGGUAGCUUAACCUUCGGGAGGGCGCUUACCACUUUGUGAUUCAUGACUGGGGUGAAGUCGUAACAAGGUAACCGUAGGGGAACCUGCGGUUGGAUCACCUCCUUACCUUAAAGAA
This 1548-nucleotide ribosomal RNA is filed under the name Klebsiella pneumoniae. RNAcentral's name for it is "bacterial SSU rRNA". It matches the Rfam family "Bacterial small subunit ribosomal RNA". Lineage: Bacteria; Pseudomonadati; Pseudomonadota; Gammaproteobacteria; Enterobacterales; Enterobacteriaceae. The record is from RNAcentral.